AUACGGAGGGUGCAAGCGUUAUUCGGAAUCACUGGGCGUAAAGGACGCGUAGGCGGGUUGGCAAGUCAGAUGUGAAAUCCUACAGCUUAACUGUAGAACUGCAUUUGAAACUGCUAACCUAGAGUAUGGGAGGGGGAGAUGGAAUUAGUGGUGUAGGGGUAAAAUCUGUAGAUAUCACUAGGAAUACCGAAAGCGAAGGCGAUCUCCUGGAACAUAACUGACGCUAAGGCGUGAAAGCGUGGGGAGCAAACAGGAUUAGAUACCCUUGUAGUCC
RNAcentral lists this ribosomal RNA (274 nucleotides) under uncultured bacterium. RNAcentral's name for it is "partial 16S ribosomal RNA". It matches the Rfam family "Bacterial small subunit ribosomal RNA", at positions 523 to 796 of the family's 1533-position model. The record is from RNAcentral.